UCCCUCUUAGCUCAGCUGGUAGAGCGCGUCACUAGUAUAAUUCCAUCCACACAAAGAGUUUAUGACGAGGUCAGUCGUUCAAAUCGGCUAGCGGGAA
This is a non-coding RNA of Mycena polygramma, 97 nucleotides long. The record is from the annotation of a GenBank genome assembly. NCBI's taxonomy places the organism in Eukaryota, Fungi, Basidiomycota, Agaricomycetes, Agaricales, Mycenaceae.